GUUACUAUGAGCUUAGUCCUUUGGUGAAUAUCUUGAUCCUGCUUCCUCUGUCUCGCUGAUCACAGCUUCUUCAAAUCUGUCUUCUUCUAAGCUUUAUACUGUGACUUUUAGUUUCCAAACUGUGCUGACAAUCCGAUCUUCUUCUUUUGGAUUACAGAUUUCAUGUCAUCUGUCCUUUUGUAAAUUAUCUUCACAUAAAUUGACCAAGAUAUCUAAUUUCCACUGGGGCAGCAAUGACUGAAAACUGCCAAGAAGACACAAAGGCUCAAAACAGGAAAAGAAGAGAGCAGGAUCUACUGGUCAACCAGAACCUUGAGGAGAAUGGUCAUGUGUCUUAGGAACUAUCUGUAGUUCAAGAUCCAUGAAGAAUUCAAGAAAUAAAAUGCAAAAUGUAUUGAACAAUAAAAUCUCUUUAGAUCGCUCCGAAAACACCAGAACUGUAUGUAAAACAUGGGUCAAACAGUGAAUAUCUUCGACUUCAUGGGUCAUGGUGAUAGCUACUCAGCUCUGCCACUGGGACGUGAAAGCCUCAGUGCCUGGUACGUGAACAAAACAACAAGGCUUCUUUCAGUACCGCCUCAUUUUCAAAACUGGGACUUGGGAAGGAAUACAGGUUGCUGACCCUCUGUUCCAU
This is a long non-coding RNA of Tupaia belangeri chinensis (Chinese tree shrew), 634 nucleotides long. RefSeq lists it as uncharacterized. The transcript has 3 exons. NCBI's taxonomy places the organism in Eukaryota, Metazoa, Chordata, Mammalia, Scandentia, Tupaiidae. The record is from RefSeq and is a predicted model, not a curated record.